CCUACGGGUGGCAGCAGUGAGGAAUAUUGGUCAAUGGACGCAAGUCUGAACCAUCCAUGCCGCGUGCAGGAAGACGGCUCUAUGAGUUGUAAACUGCUUUUGUACGAGGGUAAACGCAUACGCGUAUCUGUCUGAAAGUAUCGUACGAAUAAGGAUCGGCUCACUCCGUGCCAGCAGCCGCGGUAAUACGGAGGAUUCAAGCGUUAUCCGGGUUUAUUGGGUGUAAAGGGUGCGUAGGCGGUCGGGAAAGUUAGAUGUGAAAACCCGAGGCUCAACUUCGGAAUUGCCGCUGAUACUGUUCGGCUAGAGAGUAGUAGCGGUAGGCGGAAUGUAUGGUGUAGCGGUGAAAUGCUUAGAGAUCAUGCAGAACACCGAUGGCGAAGGCAGCUUACCGGGCUACUACUGACGUUGAGGCACGAAAGCGUGGGGAGCAAACAGGAUUAGAUACCCUGGUAGUG
This 458-nucleotide ribosomal RNA is filed under the name uncultured bacterium. RNAcentral describes it as "partial 16S ribosomal RNA". It matches the Rfam family "Bacterial small subunit ribosomal RNA", at positions 338 to 795 of the family's 1533-position model. The record is from RNAcentral.